AAGGUCUGGUCCUGGCCUUUCUAUUAGCUCUCAAUAGACUUACACAUGCAAGUAUCCGCAAACCAGUGAGAAUGCUCUCUGAUAUUAAAUUAGAGAUGCCGGCAUCAAGUUCAUACCCCAUAGCUUAAGACGCCUUGCCAAGCCACACCCCCACGGGAUACAGCAGUGAUAAACCUUAAGCAAUAAACGAAAGUUUGACUAAGUUAUAUUGAAGUAGGGUUGGUAAAUUUCGUGCCAGCCACCGCGGUCAGACGAUUAACCCAAGUUAAUAGAAAAACGGUGUAAAGGGUGUAUAGGAUAUUUACAACUUCUUAUGGAGAUAAGACUUAUUUAAGGAGUAUAAACCUCUGAAUAUAGUAAAAAUCUUUAACGAAAGUGUCUCCACAACAUCUGACUACACGACAGCUAAGACCCAAACUGGGAUUAGAUACCCCAUUAUGCUUAGCCUUAAACCUUGAUAGUUAAAAACAAAACUACCCACCAGAGAACUACUAGCCACAGCUUAAAACUCAAAGGACUUGGCGGUGCUUCACAUCCCCCUAGAGGAGCCUGUUCUAUAAUCGAUAAACCCCGAUCUACCUCACCAGAUCUUGCUAAUUCAGUCUAUAUACCGCCAUCUUCAGCAAACCCUUAUAAGGAGACAAAGUAAGCAUAAUGAUUUAUACACAUAAAAACGUUAGGUCAAGGUGUAACUUAUGAGCUGGGAAGAAAUGGGCUACAUUCUUUUUCAAAAAGCAGUUAUACAACGGAAGUUCUUAUGAAACUAAGUUCUAAAGGCGGAUUUAGCAGUAAAUUAAGAGUAGAGAGCUUAAUUGAAAUAGGCCAUGAAGCACGUACACACCGCCCGUCACCCUCCUCAAAUGUAACGUACUAAAACCAACUAAAUAAUUUAAACUAAACUAGACACUAGAGGAGAUAAGUCGUAACAAGGUAAGCAUACUGGAAAGUGUGCUUG
Molecule: non-coding RNA, 955 nt
Rfam family: Bacterial small subunit ribosomal RNA